UACGAAGGGUGCAAGCGUUACUCGGAAUUACUGGGCGUAAAGCGUGCGUAGGCGGUUUGUUAAGUCUGUCGUGAAAGCCCCGGGCUCAACCUGGGAAUGGCGAUGGAUACUGGCGAGCUAGAGUACGGUAGAGGAGAGUGGAAUUCCCGGUGUAGCAGUGAAAUGCGUAGAGAUCGGGAGGAACAUCAGUUGCGAAGGCGGCUCUCUGGACCAGUACUGACGCUGAGGCACGAAAGCGUGGGGAGCAAACGGG
Molecule: ribosomal RNA, 253 nt
Filed under: uncultured bacterium
Lineage: Bacteria
Description: partial 16S ribosomal RNA
Rfam family: Bacterial small subunit ribosomal RNA
Source: RNAcentral